GGCAAGUGAUGUCCUUUUCUCACGAUGGUCUGCGGAUGCCCAGGGCGGUGCCGAUAAUGCCACAGGCUCAGCUGAUGCCAAGAG
Molecule: small nucleolar RNA, 84 nt
Organism: Nannospalax galili (Upper Galilee mountains blind mole rat)
Lineage: Eukaryota; Metazoa; Chordata; Mammalia; Rodentia; Spalacidae
Product: small nucleolar RNA, C/D box 35A
Source: Ensembl